GUCAGGAUGGCCGAGCGGUCAAGGCGCUGCGUUCAGGUCGCAGUCUCCCUGGAGGCGUGGGUUCGAAUCCCACUCCUGACA
RNAcentral lists this transfer RNA (81 nucleotides) under Macaca mulatta (Rhesus monkey). RNAcentral's name for it is "tRNA-Leu (CAG) (tRNA-Leu-CAG-5-1)". It matches the Rfam family "tRNA". From Rfam's summary of the family: Transfer RNA (tRNA) molecules are approximately 80 nucleotides in length. Their secondary structure includes four short double-helical elements and three loops (D, anti-codon, and T loops). Lineage: Eukaryota; Metazoa; Chordata; Mammalia; Primates; Cercopithecidae. The record is from RNAcentral.